AGUGAACGCUGGCGGUAGGCCUAACACAUGCAAGUCGAACGGCAGCACAGCAGAGCUUGCUCUGUGGGUGGCGAGUGGCGGACGGGUGAGGAAUACAUGGGAAUCUGCCCAGUCGUGGGGGAUAACGUAGGGAAACUUACGCUAAUACCGCAUGCGCCCUUCGGGGGAAAGCCCGGGGGACCUUCGGGCCUGGCGCGAUU
This 200-nucleotide ribosomal RNA is filed under the name uncultured bacterium. Its description in RNAcentral is "partial 16S ribosomal RNA". It matches the Rfam family "Bacterial small subunit ribosomal RNA", at positions 29 to 222 of the family's 1533-position model. The record is from RNAcentral.